Molecule: unclassified non-coding RNA, 345 nt
Filed under: fungal sp.
Lineage: Eukaryota; Fungi
Description: partial internal transcribed spacer region
Rfam family: Eukaryotic small subunit ribosomal RNA (bases 1-46)
Source: RNAcentral
AAGUCGUAACAAGGUUUCCGUAGGUGAACCUGCGGAAGGAUCAUUUCUGAACUAAGGGAAGUAAGAGAGAGAAGGUUUCUUUUUUCUUCUUACUUUUCCUUAUCAAAGAGAGUGUGUGGUAUAAAUGAAAAGGAAAAGAAAAAAACAAAGGAAUAAGUGGCUUUUAUUUGAAAGCCAACUUUCUUUUUGUUUGCUUUUUUUCCUAAUCUUUACUUUAUGAACCAAAACAAGUUACUUUUUUGUUUUAACAAAACAACUUUUUUUUUAGUUUUUCUUUUUCGAAAGAGAACUAACAAAAAUAAAAAAAUUGACAUACAACUGUCAACGGUGGAUCUCUUGGCUCGU